Molecule: non-coding RNA, 30 nt
Filed under: Homo sapiens (human)
Lineage: Eukaryota; Metazoa; Chordata; Mammalia; Primates; Hominidae
Source: RNAcentral
UUCGCGAGGAGAAGGCUGUUGGUGAAUUGU